AGAGUUGAUCAUGGCUCAGGACGAACGCUGGCGGCGUGCCUAACACAUGCAAGUCGAACGGGGAUUUGUUUCGGCAGAAUCCUAGUGGCGAACGGGUGAGUAACGCGUAGGCAACCUGCCCCCCGGAUUGGGACAACACCCCGAAAGGGGUGCUAAUACCGGAUACGAAGAUAAUACCGCAUGGUGUUAUUUUGAAAGAUGGCCUCUAUUUAUAAGCUAUCGCCGGGGGAUGGGCCUGCGUCCGAUUAGCUGGUUGGUGGGGUAACGGCCUACCAAGGCGACGAUCGGUAGCCGGUCUGAGAGGAUGAACGGCCACAUUGGGACUGAGACACGGCCCAGACUCCUACGGGAGGCAGCAGUGGGGAAUCUUCCGCAAUGGGCGAAAGCCUGACGGAGCAACGCCGCGUGGGUGAAGGAAGUUCUUCGGAACGUAAAGCCCUGUUGUACAUGACGAACGUGCUUUCUAUCAACAACGGGAAGCAAUGACGGUAGUGUACGAGGAAGCCACGGCUAACUACGUGCCAGCCGCGGC
Molecule: ribosomal RNA, 532 nt
Filed under: uncultured bacterium
Lineage: Bacteria
Description: bacterial SSU rRNA
Rfam family: Bacterial small subunit ribosomal RNA
Source: RNAcentral